This 310-nucleotide ribosomal RNA is filed under the name uncultured bacterium. Its description in RNAcentral is "bacterial SSU rRNA". It matches the Rfam family "Bacterial small subunit ribosomal RNA", at positions 28 to 334 of the family's 1533-position model. The record is from RNAcentral.
GACGAACGCUGGCGGCGUGCCUAACACAUGCAAGUCGAGCGAUGAAGGUUUCCUUCGGGAAAUGGAUUAGCGGCGGACGGGUGAGUAACACGUGGGUAACCUGCCUCAUAGUGGGGAAUAGCCUUUCGAAAGGAAGAUUAAUACCGCAUAAGAUUGUAGUUUCGCAUGAAACAGCAAUUAAAGGAGCAAUUCGCUAUGAGAUGGACCCGCGGCGCAUUAGCUAGUUGGUGAGGUAACGGCUCACCAAGGCCACGAUGCGUAGCCGACCUGAGAGGGUGAUCGGCCACAUUGGGACUGAGACACGGCCCAG